GACGAACGCUGGCGGCGUGCUUAACGCAUGCAAGUCGAGCGGUAAGGCCCUUUCGGGGGUACACGAGCGGCGAACGGGUGAGUAACACGUGGGUGACCUGCCCUCAGCUCUGGGAUAAGCCUGGGAAACUGGGUCUAAUACUGGAUAUGACUCCACGGUGCAUGUCGUGGGGUGGAAAGCCUUGUGCGGCUGAGGAUGGGCCCGCGGCCUAUCAGCUUGUUGGUGGGGUGANGGCCUACCAAGGCGACGACGGGUAGCCGGCCUGAGAGGGCGACCGGCCACACUGGGACUGAGACACGGCCCAGACUCCUACGGGAGGCAGCAGUGGGGAAUCUUGCGCAAUGGGCGAAAGCCUGACGCAGCGACGCCGCGUGAGGGAUGACGGCCUGG
This 390-nucleotide ribosomal RNA is filed under the name uncultured bacterium. RNAcentral describes it as "bacterial SSU rRNA". It matches the Rfam family "Bacterial small subunit ribosomal RNA", at positions 28 to 419 of the family's 1533-position model. The record is from RNAcentral.